This 209-nucleotide unclassified non-coding RNA is filed under the name Hevea brasiliensis (rubber tree). Lineage: Eukaryota; Viridiplantae; Streptophyta; Magnoliopsida; Malpighiales; Euphorbiaceae. The record is from RNAcentral.
ACUUUCUGAAUUAUGCCAAUUCCAAUGUCGAUUCUACUGGGCAUUAUUUUUUUUUUCUAAUAACAUUGAAUUCUUCAUGGUCAUGUUGUUUUAGAUAUAAGCAAACCAGCAAAGUACGUUAGUAUAUUUGCUUUUGUUUACUUGUUUUCUGGUUUAUCUAUUAUAGCAUGCUGUUGCUUUUGUAGGUGGAGUCAAUACUAGACAAGGAA